This is a small nuclear RNA of Cercocebus atys (sooty mangabey), 173 nucleotides long. Its record names the gene U2. It matches the Rfam family "U2 spliceosomal RNA". Rfam says of the family: U2 is a small nuclear RNA (snRNA) component of the spliceosome (involved in pre-mRNA splicing). Lineage: Eukaryota; Metazoa; Chordata; Mammalia; Primates; Cercopithecidae. The record is from Ensembl.
ACUACUUCUCAGCCUUUUGGCUAAGAUCAAGUGUAGUAUCUAUUCUUAUCAGUUUAUUUUACAUUUAUUUAUUUUUUUAUUUUUUGAGAGGGAGUUUCCCUCUUGUCACCCAGGCUGGAGUGCAAUGGCGUGAUCUCGGCUCACUGCAACCUCCGCCUCGUGGGUUCAAGCAA